This 379-nucleotide long non-coding RNA is filed under the name Mytilus galloprovincialis (Mediterranean mussel). The record is from RNAcentral. Lineage: Eukaryota; Metazoa; Mollusca; Bivalvia; Mytilida; Mytilidae.
UAGGUUAGGUUAAGUGAAAAUUAAGAAAUUAAGAAAUUAAAAUUGAUACUAUAAGCUGGUAGAGCAUCAAUUAAGGAUAAAGAUAAGCUAAAAAUAUUGAUAGGUCAUGGACCUCCUUUUCAAGUUAUUUGAGAUCUAAAAUAUGGCGGAAAACGCUGACUCGGACUUUUACCUUAUAUUUGCAUUGGUAUUAUUUGGGUCUCAAAACAAAAGAAAGAAAAUCAAGAAUCUUCUAAAAUUUUGGUAAAUGACCUUUCUUGAGCUAUUAAGUCUUAUAAGAAAAAAUAAAUGGGUUUUAUGGGGCAAAAUAUUUUAUGGAAAAACACCAAGGAGUCCGAACAUUUGACAAAAAUUCAAAAACCUCACCUAAGUACAUCCU